Molecule: ribosomal RNA, 540 nt
Filed under: uncultured archaeon
Lineage: Archaea
Description: bacterial SSU rRNA
Rfam family: Bacterial small subunit ribosomal RNA
Source: RNAcentral
CAGCAGCCGCGGUAAUACGUAGGGGGCAAGCGUUAUCCGGAAUCACUGGGCGUAAAGGGUGCGUAGGCGGCCAAUAAAGUCAGAGGUGAAAUCCCAGGGCUCAACCCUGGUCAGCCUUUGAAACUUAAUGGCUUGAGUGCAGGAGAGGAGAGUGGAAUUCCUAGUGUAGCGGUGAAAUGCGUAGAUAUUAGGAGGAACACCAGUGGCGAAGGCGACUCUCUGGACUGUAACUGACGCUGAGGCACGAAAGUGUGGGUAGCAAACAGGAUUAGAUACCCUGGUAGUCCACACCGUAAACGAUGAGUGCUAGGUGUUGGGGGUCAAACCUCAGUGCCGCAGUUAACGCAUUAAGCACUCCGCCUGGGGAGUACGUUCGCAAGAAUGAAACUCAAAGGAAUUGACGGGGACCCGCACAAGCAGCGGAGCAUGUGGUUUAAUUCGAAGCAACGCGAAGAACCUUACCUGGACUUGACAUCCCUUGGACCGAUCUUUAAUAGGAUCCUUCCCUUCGGGGACUAAGGAGACAGGAGGUGCAUGGCC